Molecule: ribosomal RNA, 427 nt
Filed under: uncultured Acidibacter sp.
Lineage: Bacteria; Pseudomonadati; Pseudomonadota; Gammaproteobacteria
Description: bacterial SSU rRNA
Rfam family: Bacterial small subunit ribosomal RNA
Source: RNAcentral
UGGGGAAUAUUGGACAAUGGGGGCAACCCUGAUCCAGCGACGCCGCGUGUGUGAAGAAGGCCUGCGGGUUGUAAAGCACUUUUAGUGGGGAUGAAAAGCCGAAGGCUAAUACCUUUCGGUCUUGACCUAACCCACAGAAAAAGCACCGGCUAACUCUGUGCCAGCAGCCGCGGUAAUACAGAGGGUGCGAGCGUUAAUCGGAAUUACUGGGCGUAAAGCGUGCGUAGACGGUUAUGUAAGUCAGAUGUGAAAGCCCCGGGCUCAACCUGGGAAUUGCAUUUGAGACUGCAUAGCUAGGGUGCGGAAGAGGGAAGCGGAAUUUCCGGUGUAGCGGUGAAAUGCGUAGAUAUCGGAAGGAACACCAGUGGCGAAAGCGGCUUCCUGGUCCAGCACCGACGUUCAGGCACGAAAGCGUGGGGAGCAAACA